Chenopodium quinoa (quinoa) is the source of this 4222-nucleotide RNA transcript. RefSeq lists it as uncharacterized. NCBI's taxonomy places the organism in Eukaryota, Viridiplantae, Streptophyta, Magnoliopsida, Caryophyllales, Amaranthaceae. The record is from RefSeq and is a predicted model, not a curated record. The transcript is spliced from 10 exons.
GAUGCCAAAAGCGUCAUUAUUUACAAGAUAGAGAAACGUGUCACCCAUCUAUCAAUUACUCAACCCGCUAAACUUAAAUUUAAACCAAAAUGAAAAUUUUAAUAUCCCGGGAUUAUCUCCCCAUGACCCCAUAGCACCAGCUCCCACGGUUUUCGUUGUUCCUCAAUAACCACCUGUAUUGAUCGCCGCUCAGAAAUUCGCCUCAAAAUUUUGAAUCUUCACAAAAAAAAUCCCCAAUUCUUUGCUUUCAGUUAGCGUAAAAUCAUCUCAACCCACUUAUCUGAUCUCUAACCUCUUUAAUUUUUUUUUUCUAUAUAUAUGAUGCGUACAAUGUGACUUUCAGAUAUGUGAAUUUCAUACUACUGUUCACAAAUUGCCAAAAAAUUGUCUCUUAAUUGUGCUUUUGGGGAAUUUAAUUUGGUGUUCUCACUUUGGAUUCAUCGGUUCUCUAGUUUCUUGGAGAAAAUUAUCGAGAUUCAAGCCCAAUAAUCAUAUUGUUCAGCAUUGGAUCACAAAAGUUGCUUGGCAGAGGAAACUUCCUGAAAAUUUGUUAGAGAUGCAUCAGCUUGCAUAUUAACUUACGGAUCUUUUGGUCUUGGGAGAAAUUAUUUGUAGAAGUCGAAUUUUAUAGAUGGUGUAGAAUCUUCUUCUCUUGGUUGUGUCUUUGUCAAAGGGCAUAAUAGAGGUGUAAGCAACAUUUGAAGAACUUCCUGUCAAAAAGAGAGAAAACGAAGAGGUUUAAUUAGGUGUCUCGGAAUGAGUUACAGAAGUAAAAGAACUGCUUUAACUCCUGGCGAGGCACAAUUUUCUCAGAAUAAGCAACCCACUUCGACAUAUGUACAAUCUGAGUCCAGCCUUACUACAGUGUCACAAUCACGCUUAUCCGAGUCUUCUAACCCAUCCACCCAAUGGGGACCAUUUAGCCCUCCGACAGUUGGAAGAUCACAGACGUUUGGGCACAUAUCGCAACUAAUCAAAUCUUCUAUAGAUGCAUCAAAACCCACAUCUACAUCUUCUUCAUUUAUAGCUACAUCAAAAGCAGGCAUGCCAACUAUAAUGCCAUCAAAGUCCCAACAUAAGAUAUCAUCAAGACCUCCUAUAAUUCCAUCACAACCUAGAUCGUAUCCUAUGUUACAAUCUGUAACACCACAAACACAAUUCCCUCAUAAAGAAACACAACAGCCUCAAAAAGGAACAACUCAACCUACUAAAGCAUCAAAGCAGCAUCAAAAACCUAUAGAACAUCCGACUAAUCCACCUUUUACUGGAGCUAAAACUGGUGCACAGCCCUCACAAGAAACAACACAAGUCCCUCACAAAGAAACAGCUCAGCUGACUAAAGCAUCAAAGCAGCCUCAAAAAGCUACAGAACAUCCGAGUAAACAACCUUUUACUGGAGCUAAAACUGGUGCACUGCCUGUGGGAGCUACACAGCAACCUAUUGUCUCUCCUUUGACUGGAGCUAAGUCCCAAUUAGAAAGAAGAGUUGUUUCACCCUGGAAGCUAUGCAACAAACUCAAAAGAAGCAUCCUAUGACGUCUUCCUUUUUUGGAGGCCAACCCUCGACACGACCUCAAAUGAACAGCUGGUUCAGUGGGACUCCAUAAGGACAGGUCUCAUGCAUAUAUUCAUGCUGAAAGCAACAUAAGGUCAAAUUAUGACUCUGACGAACCUGAAUCUCAGUUAGAGAGUGAAGAAGAGUUAACUGAGUCAGGUGGAAUGGACAGUGGUGUGAAAAGAACAAAACUUAGACGCCGAAGUAUAGUGAAAAAUUGGCCAGAGCAUGUCAAGUUUGAUGAGGAAGAAGAGGUUGUGGCAUUUGAUGUCGAUGGAAAACGACACCUUGUGAAGGGUUCUGUUCAGCCUCGAGAUGUGUGGAAUGAUGCACCAGGAUUUAGGUACUUCGUCCAAUUUAAUGAAUUCAACCAACCUCUUCACAAAGGUGGCUCCAUCCUUGUGAGUUUCUUAGGAGACAUUGCUAAACGAGAAGAAUUUUGUCCCGUGGGGAUUUUAAAUUGGCAUAAGUUGAGCUCGAAUAUGAGAGGCAAUAUUGUUAACCUUGUUCGGGAAAGGAAAUGAAGAAUGCUAUUUUAAAGCGUAUUGGCAAAGCAUGGAAGAAUCAUAGAUAUGCAUUGAAGAAGGAUUAUUUCAACCCUGUGGAAAAAACGCGUGAACAAAACUUUGCUAGUAUACCUGAUGGAAUCACAACUCAGAAUUGGAGUUUUCUGUUUGAUUAUUGGCUUCCAUCAGACGCUAAGAAAUUGUCUGAACUCGGAAAAGCUGCGUGCGUCACAAGUUCUUGUGCGCAGGAGCGGUGCUAAAAGCUAUGCAAAUCGCAGAGCUAUUCUAGUAUGAUUAUCAUUCAUUUUAUCUAGUCCUAAAAACUGCAUAUAGUGUUUAUGUUGUCUGCCUAUCUUACAAACUUUGGAACUUAGCAAUUUGCUGCAAAUGCCUUCUAUAUACUUAGUUUUGGUUUAUGUUGCCAUGUAUAUAUGAAGCAUGGCUGGUCUUUUGUGCAGGUUUGUACAAGGUUAAAAUUUUUGAUUUAUGCCAUUUUUAGGGGAAGUGCUGCCAAAUUUUCUGUAGAUUUUUCAUGAACUAUAUUUAAAGAAAAGAUAAAAAAUAAAAAACAAAAGACUUAUAAUAGCUAAGGUAAAAUAUGAAUACAAUUGCAAUUUAAAUACAAUUGUAAUUUAGUGACAUCAGGAGGACAAUCAAGAGUUUAAAGUUACGUCCUAUAUAUUGUCACUCUGGUUUACAAUAAAUCAAAUUGUCUUCCUGGUAAAAGGUUAGAGAGAUGAUUUAUGGUAGACAUAAGUUGUCACUUUAUAAUCAUAUAUGUCAUAUUAACUUAACUAGCAUUGAAAGAAUAAUCUAAAAAGUGGGCAGAAAGGUAGAGGGUAUCAUUGAAAUAACAAAAAGAAUAUAACCACACUACACUAUGCAACUGUGCAUUGAUAUAUAAAAGAUAAAAGCAAAUUUUAAUAGUAUUCUAAGUGGCUUAACAACAUUUAUAUUACCAAGUUGUUAGAUAACUGUUUGUACUGUUUGUUUCUCACAUUGCAGAAAAAAUAAAAAGGAGAUUUCAGUGAAUUGGAUUUUUUAAAAAGUGUUUAUAGCGAAGGAGAUGGAAGCUUCAAAGAGGGCACAACAUCUCGUCAGUUUGUGGAGGAUGCAAUCAAGAAUGUGCAAGAAAGCCUUGAUAACUCCUCUUCUUCCAUUCCCAAGAUUGAUAUUGAAAUUGAAGUUUUCAAUCAACUUAUGUAUCAAGGCGAGAUCCCUAAACGUCCUCUAAAUUAUGGCUUUGGUGUGAAGCAAAGCUACAUCUUUGGAGUGGAAGGGCAUUUAAGGAAAGAAGGGUCUAACUAUGUCAACAAUAGUGAUAUGGAAGUGGAGAAGUUGAAGGUGGCUAUCAGAUAUGAAGAAGCAAAAUGAAGACCUUGCAGAACAAAAUCAAAUAUUGGGAACAAAAUUUGAUGCAAUUGGCUCUAUGAUGGCACAGGUUUUAAAGGAAACACGUAAUGGAAAUGUUUCAUUAGAAGUUAUAGAUAAUGCAAUACAACUUCUUGAUUCUCAGCUUUGGUGGUGUUUUGAGCAAAGGAGCAGAUUCGAACAAGUUAUGAUUGCUAUUUGGAACGGGCAUAUCUCCUUCAAUUUCUGUCCGAAUUGAGUAAUUCUUUUAUUUUAUUUUAUUUUAUUUUAUAUAUUUUGGUUGUUUUUUUGUGUAGAAUACACACAAAAAUUAUAAGAUUUAUUUUGAAAUUGUAUGCCAAUAAACUGGCUAGUUCUACAAAGAAGUGCAGAAAUAGAGCAAAUCUAGAAAGACUGAUUUAAAUUGAAGAUUUCUCACUCAUCUGAAAAGCUUUUGAUGAGUUUAUUGUUUUUCAAAUUGGUUGUUUUAAUCUGAAAUUUUUGAAUUUGUAAGCCUUUGAGAGUUUUGAGUUAGAAUUAGUUUCUCACUUUGUUGUUGACAUGGAUUGAGCGUUGUAAGGGAGUUGAAUAUAGGUGAGGUGCGUAAGGGGUCAUUGAGGAGCAUCGAUGGUCAAUAAGGUUAGAAAAUUAUAAAAUUAGAGAGCACCAUGUAGAAUUACCCAUAAAAAUAAACAUUUAAAUUAAUGUCUUUUGGUCAAAUUAUUGCAUUGGAUAUAAUAAUGUAUGUGUGAAUACUAGUACUUCUUAAUAUUUUAUGUUUAUACUUGUUAAAUUAGUGAUUGAAUACAAA